Molecule: small RNA, 91 nt
Filed under: Pedobacter psychrophilus
Lineage: Bacteria; Pseudomonadati; Bacteroidota; Sphingobacteriia; Sphingobacteriales; Sphingobacteriaceae
Description: Pedobacter sp. CCM 8644 Flavo-1 RNA
Rfam family: Flavo-1 RNA
Source: Rfam by way of RNAcentral
GUUUUGCGUUAACGAUAGAAGUGGCAUCCUUUUUUUGCACUAACCAUUUAGCAAAUAGCAAAAAAAGAUAUAGCGGAUAGCGUGUUAAAAC